Molecule: ribosomal RNA, 208 nt
Filed under: uncultured bacterium
Lineage: Bacteria
Description: partial 16S ribosomal RNA
Rfam family: Bacterial small subunit ribosomal RNA
Source: RNAcentral
CACGUAGGCGGGUCGUUAAGUCAGGGGUGAAAUCCCGGAGCUCAACUCCGGAACUGCCUUUGAUACUGGCGACCUUGAGGCUGGAAGAGGUUAGUGGAAUUCCCAGUGUAGAGGUGAAAUUCGUAGAUAUUGGGAAGAACACCAGUGGCGAAGGCGGCUAACUGGUCCAGAUCUGACGCUGAGGUGCGAAAGCGGUGGGGAGCAAACA